CUGGUGGCAAUAGCAUUGUGGCACCACCUGAAUCCAUUCCGAACUCAGCAGUGAAACGCAAUAGCGCCGAUGGUAGUGUGGGGUUUCCCCAUGUGAGAGUAGGACACCGCCAGG
Molecule: ribosomal RNA, 114 nt
Filed under: Algicola sagamiensis
Lineage: Bacteria; Pseudomonadati; Pseudomonadota; Gammaproteobacteria; Alteromonadales; Pseudoalteromonadaceae
Source: RNAcentral